UGACCUCGGAUCAGUAGUGCCCGC
This 24-nucleotide ribosomal RNA is filed under the name Lobothallia helanensis. Its description in RNAcentral is "partial 26S ribosomal RNA". Lineage: Eukaryota; Fungi; Ascomycota; Lecanoromycetes; Pertusariales; Megasporaceae. The record is from RNAcentral.